UGGGAGCUGGUGGAGGGCAUGAUGAGGGUGUUAGAGUUGUGAAUCUAACUACUUGGAUUUUAUCUGAUAGGCCACAGAACAUAGGUAGGGUUGUGAAAAGUAAUAGAUUAUUUAUUUAUUUAUUUAUUUAAUGGGGCCUUUGAAUCGAAGAGCAGAGAACAUGGCCCAUUUGUUGAAGGUAAGGAUUAUUCUAUUCUCUAUUGGGUGAUCUGCCUCUCCUCCCCACCUUCAUGCCUCCACUCUCCACCUUCUGCCUCUCCUCCCCAUCUUCCUUUAUUUUUUUCACUCCCACAACCUUUCACAUGGACUGAUGGGUAAUUUUCAGUACUCCUACUUUCAGAGUAAGAAGAGAAACUUCAAGUUCUUUUCAUCUAUACUAAAAUAACUGAGAUAAAAAAUUAUGCACUGCAAUUGAUAAAUAGAGAAAAUAUUUGUAAUUGAAAUGAUGACUACAUUAAAAUCCAAUAAGAUCAUAUAUGAAUCCAUGGCAAACACUCUGUUAUGCCAAAUGGAAGAAAAUAUAAGAAAGAACAAUAUUCCAAUCAGGAAUGAACCAAAAAUGUCAAAUAUAACAGCAUAAUGAGACCAAGAAAUCACUUAUAAGAAAAACAACCUUAAAUAUAAAGGGCCCAAGAUAAGAAAAUAAAAAAAGUCAUCCAUGAAAGGGAAAACCUGUCGGGAUUAAAGAACUGCAACAGCAAAAUCUUGGCAAGCCUCAAGAGACCUCAUCCAUGAAGUCCUUUUAGCAUCUGAACGAGUUGUGGGUUGAAUAAGGCUGAAGCUUGCUGCAAUUCAGCUGCGCACUCGUCGUUUCUACUCCUCAUGGCACGUUCUGCUGGUACACAUCCCAUUCGUCUAGUGCCCGUCGGAUUCUCUUGUUGUUGCAUGUCGGAUUCCUCGCGGUGAGUUUCGAUGGAGUUGACAAUUGAGUUCUACAUGAUGACCAAAAAACGUUUGGGUCGAGCCAUCCUCGCCACCUCUUCACGGAUGAUUUGUUGCAUAUUGAAACUGCUAUGGUGUUCAGUUUGAAGGAAAGAAGAAGACGACAUCAUAGUGAGGCUGGGUGCUGCUAAUCAAAAUGUGCAUGUGCGGAGGGAUAAGGAGGGAGAAUUAGUGGAUGGGAAGCAUGGGUGGCUAUUCAUUAUGAUAGAUGGUUUUGGGCAGCCCAAAGCAUGGGCUGUGUCAGAAGAAAGACAUUUGAUGUCUGAUGAAGGUGGUAGAGAUAGGUUUUUUUGAUUGCCUAAAGAAUAGGGUGUUGCAGGGUAUGGCAU
RNAcentral lists this long non-coding RNA (1271 nucleotides) under Vitis vinifera (wine grape). RNAcentral's name for it is "long non-coding RNA (VVIN_LNC004135)". The record is from RNAcentral. Lineage: Eukaryota; Viridiplantae; Streptophyta; Magnoliopsida; Vitales; Vitaceae.